GACGGAGGGUGCAAGCGUUGUUCGGAUUGACUGGGCGUAAAGGGCGUGUAGGCGGUCGGCCAAGUCUGAUGUGAAAGCCCGAGGCUCAGCCUCGGAAGUGCGUCGGAAACUAGUCGGCUGGAGCGCGAUAGAGGAGGGUGGAAUUCCUGGUGUAGCGGUGAAAUGCGCAGAUAUCAGGAGGAACACCGACGGCGAAGGCAGCACUCUGGGCCGGUACUGACGCUGAGGAGCGAAAGCGUGGGGAGCAAACAGG
Molecule: ribosomal RNA, 253 nt
Filed under: uncultured bacterium
Lineage: Bacteria
Description: partial 16S ribosomal RNA
Rfam family: Bacterial small subunit ribosomal RNA
Source: RNAcentral